This 74-nucleotide ribosomal RNA is filed under the name Colletotrichum truncatum. RNAcentral's name for it is "28S ribosomal RNA". The stretch from base 17 to 74 matches the Rfam family "Eukaryotic large subunit ribosomal RNA", at positions 1 to 58 of the family's 3401-position model. Lineage: Eukaryota; Fungi; Ascomycota; Sordariomycetes; Glomerellales; Glomerellaceae. The record is from RNAcentral.
CCAAUUUUACUAAGGUUGACCUCGGAUCAGGUAGGAAUACCCGCUGAACUUAAGCAUAUCAAUAAGCGGAGGAA